CGGUUGAUCCUGCCGGAGGUUACUGCUAUCGGAGUUCGAUUAAGCCAUGCGAGUCUAAAGGUUUCUUCGGAAGCCUUGGCGGACUGCUCAGUAACACGUGGAUAACCUACCCUUGGGACUGGAAUAACCCCGGGAAACUGGGGAUAAUACCGGAUAGAUCAGGGAUGCUGGAAUGCACCUUGAUCCAAAGCUCCGGCGCCCAAGGAUGGGUCUGCGGCCUAUCAGGUUGUAGUGGGUGUAACGUACCUACUAGCCGACGACGGGUACGGGUUGUGAGAGCAAGAGCCCGGAGAUGGAUUCUGAGACACGAAUCCAGGCCCUACGGGGUGCAGCAGGCGCGAAACCUUUACAAUGUGCGAAAGCAUGAUAAGGGAACUCCGAGUGCCAGUAUCUAAUACUGGCUGUCCUUGUGCCUAAACCGCACAAGAUAGCAAGGGCCGGGUAAGACCGGUGCCAGCCGCCGCGGUAACACCGGCGGCCCGAGUGGUAGCCGCUAUUAUUGGGUCUAAAGGGUCCGUAGCCGGUUCGAUAAGUCCUCUGGGAAAUCUGGUUGCUUAACAAUCAGACUGCCAAGGGAUACUGUUGAACUUGAGACCGGGAGAGGUAAGAGGUACUUCAGGGGUAGGAGUGAAAUCUUGUAAUCCCUGGGGGACCAUCUGUGGCGAAGGCGUCUUACCAGAACGGGUCUGACGGUGAGGGACGAAAGCUGGGGGCGCAAACCGGAUUAGAUACCCGGGUAGUCCCAGCCGUAAACGAUGCUCGCUAUGUGUCANGUACGGUGUGACCGUAUCUGNNNNNNUNGGGAAGCCGUGAAGCGAGCCACCUGGGAAGUACGGUCGCAAGACUGAAACUUAAAGGAAUUGGCGGGGGAGCAC
Molecule: ribosomal RNA, 875 nt
Filed under: uncultured archaeon
Lineage: Archaea
Description: bacterial SSU rRNA
Rfam family: Archaeal small subunit ribosomal RNA
Source: RNAcentral